RNAcentral lists this transfer RNA (78 nucleotides) under Nitrososphaerota archaeon. RNAcentral's name for it is "Thaumarchaeota archaeon tRNA-Arg". It matches the Rfam family "tRNA". Rfam says of the family: Transfer RNA (tRNA) molecules are approximately 80 nucleotides in length. Their secondary structure includes four short double-helical elements and three loops (D, anti-codon, and T loops). Lineage: Archaea; Thermoproteati; Nitrososphaerota. The record is from RNAcentral.
GGGCCCGUAGUUCAGUAUGGAUAGAAUGCCAGCCUGCGAAGCUGGAUGCCGCCGGUUCAAAUCCGGCCGGGCCCGCCA